This 1007-nucleotide ribosomal RNA is filed under the name Staphylococcus aureus. Its description in RNAcentral is "partial 23S ribosomal RNA". It matches the Rfam family "Bacterial large subunit ribosomal RNA", at positions 1189 to 2196 of the family's 2925-position model. The record is from RNAcentral. Lineage: Bacteria; Bacillati; Bacillota; Bacilli; Caryophanales; Staphylococcaceae.
UAUUACCGAAGCUGUGGAUUGUCCUUUGGACAAUGGUAGGAGAGCGUUCUAAGGGCGUUGAAGCAUGAUCGUAAGGACAUGUGGAGCGCUUAGAAGUGAGAAUGCCGGUGUGAGUAGCGAAAGACGGGUGAGAAUCCCGUCCACCGAUUGACUAAGGUUUCCAGAGGAAGGCUCGUCCGCUCUGGGUUAGUCGGGUCCUAAGCUGAGGCCGACAGGCGUAGGCGAUGGAUAACAGGUUGAUAUUCCUGUACCACCUAUAAUCGUUUUAAUCGAUGGGGGGACGCAGUAGGAUAGGCGAAGCGUGCGAUUGGAUUGCACGUCUAAGCAGUAAGGCUGAGUAUUAGGCAAAUCCGGUACUCGUUAAGGCUGAGCUGUGAUGGGGAGAAGACAUUGUGUCUUCGAGUCGUUGAUUUCACACUGCCGAGAAAAGCCUCUAGAUAGAAAAUAGGUGCCCGUACCGCAAACCGACACAGGUAGUCAAGAUGAGAAUUCUAAGGUGAGCGAGCGAACUCUCGUUAAGGAACUCGGCAAAAUGACCCCGUAACUUCGGGAGAAGGGGUGCUCUUUAGGGUUAACGCCCAGAAGAGCCGCAGUGAAUAGGCCCAAGCGACUGUUUAUCAAAAACACAGGUCUCUGCUAAACCGUAAGGUGAUGUAUAGGGGCUGACGCCUGCCCGGUGCUGGAAGGUUAAGAGGAGUGGUUAGCUUCUGCGAAGCUACGAAUCGAAGCCCCAGUAAACGGCGGCCGUAACUAUAACGGUCCUAAGGUAGCGAAAUUCCUUGUCGGGUAAGUUCCGACCCGCACGAAAGGCGUAACGAUUUGGGCACUGUCUCAACGAGAGACUCGGUGAAAUCAUAGUACCUGUGAAGAUGCAGGUUACCCGCGACAGGACGGAAAGACCCCGUGGAGCUUUACUGUAGCCUGAUAUUGAAAUUCGGCACAGCUUGUACAGGAUAGGUAGGAGCCUUUGAAACGUGAGCGCUAGCUUACGUGGAGGCGCUGGUGGG